Molecule: ribosomal RNA, 3061 nt
Filed under: Chenopodium quinoa (quinoa)
Lineage: Eukaryota; Viridiplantae; Streptophyta; Magnoliopsida; Caryophyllales; Amaranthaceae
Description: bacterial LSU rRNA
Rfam family: Bacterial large subunit ribosomal RNA (bases 562-3061)
Source: RNAcentral
CUCAUCUCUCUUCUACAUCCUUCCAACUUUCUUUACCCCACAUGUACAAUAUUCCUUUUUUUAACUAUAAUUGUACUUUGAAUGAUUAAUUUAUGUCAAUUCACCUCAAUUUUACACAAUUUCUUAAUAACCGCGCAUAAUUUCAAACUUAAAGAACGAAAAGAGAACGGAGGGAGUUGCAUUUAAAAAAUGUGAGCAAUACUAUUUGAGUUGGAUAUGGGUUGGACCUCGUAUUCAAAUCUAACCGGAAUUAGAAAAGUUGAAAUUUUAUAGUCGAAAACCGAUUUGAAUAUUAUAUGGGAAUUAAGCUGGAUUUUUAAUCUUUAAAUCAACUCAUCUUGUGAGAUUCGAGUUGGAUUUGAAUUGAAUUGUCAUCCCUUAUGCGACUUACCCGACACAGUCGGACCCCAUAUUAAAAAGAAAAAAAAAAUUGUAAAGAAAAUUAAAGCCGUGGGACUGUUGUCUGACCAAAACAAACCCAAAAAUAGGUGUUCCCCCGGUAACCUGGUACCGGCGGCAGCAUCGGAGGAGAGAGAAUGGAGAAACCAUCCGAAGAAGAAGAAGUAGAAAAGGAAGAAUUCGAUCCAUCAGAUAUUGAAUACAUAAACUAUGGUGGUGAACAUCACCUUCCUCUAAUUAUGCACCUUGUUGAUCAAGAACUCAGCGAACCUUACUCCAUCUUCACUUAUCGCUACUUCGUCUACCUUUGGCCUCAGCUCUGCUUUCUCGUUUGUCUCCUCUUUUCAUUUCUUUAUUUUUCAAUUGAUUUUGUGAUUCAUUUUUUUAUUUUUGUCCUUUAAUUUUUGUGGGUGUUGCUUAGAAUUUGAUUAUUUUUUGUGGGUGUUGUUUAGAAUUUGGUGAUUAUAUGUGGGUGUUGCUUAGAACUUGAUUUUUUUUGUGGGUUCUGCUUAGAAUUUGAUUACUCCGUAUUUUUUGUGGGUGUUGCUUAAAAUUUGAUUAUUUUUUGUGGGUUGUGAAUUUUUAGGCGUUUCAUAGAGGAAGAUGUGUGGGAACAGUGGUGUGUAAAAUGGGGGAACAUCGUCAUACUUUUAGAGGCUACAUUGCUAUGCUUGUUGUCAUCAAAGCUUACAGAGGCAAAGGCAUUGGUAAAAGAAGAGAGAUAAGAAAGUGGCGUAAUAGCUUCACUGAUCGAGCGCUCUUGCGCCCGAAGAUGAACUGGGCUAAGCGGUCUGCCGAAGCUGUGGGAUGUAAAAAGCAUCGGUAGGGGAAGCGUUCCGCUGUUAGGGCGAACGCGCGCGCGAGCCGCGUUGGACGAAGCGGAAGCGAAGAAAAUGUCGGCUUGAGUACGCAAACAUUGGUGAGAUCCAAUGCCCCGAAAACCUAAAGGGUUCCUCCGCAAGGUUUCGUACCACGGUAAGGUGAAGUCAGCCUAAGAUCAGGCCGAAAGCCGUCAGCGAUGGACAACAGGUGAAUAUUCCUGUACUACCCUUGUUGUCCCCCGAGGGACGGAGGAGGCUAGGUUAUGCCGAAAGAUGGUUAAUCGGUUCAGGAACGCAAGGUGACCCGUUUUCAGGGUAAAGAAGGGGGUAGAACGAAAUGCCCGAGCCAAUGUUUCGAGUACCAGGCGCUUACGGCGCUGAAGUAACCCAUGCAUAACUCCCAGGAAAAGCCGAACGAACCUUCCAACAAAAGGGUACCUGUCCCCGAAACCGACACACGGUAGGUAGGUAGAGAAUACUAGGGGCGGCGAAGACAACUCUCUCAAGGGAACUCGGCAAAAUAGCCCGCGUAACUUCGGGAGAAGGGGUGCCCGCCUCACAAAGGGGGUCGAAGUGACCAGGCCCGGGCGCACUGUUUAACCCAACCUAAACAGAGGUCUCCGCAAAGUCGUAAAGACCAUGUAAAAUGGGGGCUGAACGCCUGCCCAGUGCCGGAAGGUGCAAGGAAGUUGGUGACCUGAUGACAGGCGAGCCGGCGACGAAGCCCCGGUGAACAGGCGGCCGUAACUAUAAACCGGUCCUAGAGGUAGCGAAAUUCCUUGUCGGGUAAAGUUUCCGACCCGCCACGAAAAAGGCGUAAAGAUCUGGGCACUGUCUCGCGAGAGAGGCUCGGUUGAAAUAGACAUGUCUGUGAAAAGAUGUCGGACUCCCUGCCACCUGGACAGAAAGACCCUAUGAAGGCUUUUACUGUUCCCUGGGAAUUGGCUUUGGGCCUUUCCUGCGCAAGCUUACGGUGGACAGGCGAAGAAAGCCCCCCUUCCGGGGGCCCGCGAGCCAUCAGUGGAGAUAAGCCACUCUGGAAGAGCUAGAAUUUCUAAACCUUAGUGUCAGUACCUACGGGCCAAGGGACAGUCUCAAGGUAUGACAGUUUAUCUAUGGGCGUAGGCCUCCCAAAAGGUUAACGGAGGCGUGCAAAGGUUUUCCCUCGGGCCGGAACGGAGAUUGGCCCUCGAGUGCACAAGGCAAGAAGGGAGCUUGAAACUGGCAUAGACCCACCGUCGCAGCAGGGACGAAAGUGGCCUUAGUGAUCCGACGGUGCCGAGUGGCAAGGCACGUCGCUCACGGAUAAAAGUUACUCUAAGGGAUAACAGGCUGCCAUCUCCCGCCAAGAGUUCACAUCGACGGGAAGGUUUGGCACCUCGUAAUGUCGGCUGCUUCGCCACCUGGGGCCCUGUAGUAUGUUCCAAGGGUUGGGCUGUUCGCCAUUUAAAGCGGUACCCGUGGAGCUGGGUUCAAAGAAACGUCGUGAGACAGUUCGGUCCAUAUCCGGUGUGGGCAGUUAGAGCAUUGAGAGGACCUUAUUCCUAAGUACGAGAGACCGGCAAGGACGCACCUCUGGUGUUCACCAGUUAUCGGUGCCCACGGUAAACGCUGGGUAGCCAAGUGCGGAGCGACUAACUGCUGAAAGCAUGCUAAAGUAGUUAAGCCACCCCCAGAUGAGUGCUCUCCUAUUUCCUACUUCCCCCGUCACUGCCGAUAGCACAGCUGAGGCAGUGACGGGUCUCUGCCCCUGAGGGGUGAGCGAACAGAAGUUUGGAACAGAGAAGGUCCACGGCGAGACGAGCCGUUUAUGCAUUACGAAUAGGUGUCAAGUGGAAGUG